UUGCAUUGCUUCUAAAAAAAGGAACAAUAACACUAAAAAUUAUAAAUAAAUAUAAAUUUAGUUGAAAACGCAAAAUACUCAAAACUAAAAUAGGAAGAUGCGUCAACUUUGAUUUGCUAUUGUUUAGAACUUUAGGCUUUGAUUUCAUGGUGAAGCUGACUUCCACGAUUGGCUUUGUUAAGAAGAAAGAAAACCCCCUUCAUCACCAUUUGGAAAGUAGACCAAAAAAAUCAACUUGAAAAAGAAGAUGAGCACUCGUGAUUUUAAAGAAAGAAAUGAGUUGAAUUCUUGAUGGAGAUGAUGAGCCAAGGCUUGGGAUGGAGAUGAUAAGCAUUGAGCAAACAAGUUUCAGAAGGAGAAAUGACAAGAGGGAG
This 374-nucleotide unclassified non-coding RNA is filed under the name Hevea brasiliensis (rubber tree). Lineage: Eukaryota; Viridiplantae; Streptophyta; Magnoliopsida; Malpighiales; Euphorbiaceae. The record is from RNAcentral.